RNAcentral lists this ribosomal RNA (355 nucleotides) under uncultured Streptococcus sp. Its description in RNAcentral is "bacterial SSU rRNA". It matches the Rfam family "Bacterial small subunit ribosomal RNA", at positions 1027 to 1382 of the family's 1533-position model. Lineage: Bacteria; Bacillati; Bacillota; Bacilli; Lactobacillales; Streptococcaceae. The record is from RNAcentral.
AUCGGUGACAGGUGGUGUCAUGGUUGUCGUCAGCUCGUGUCGUGAGAUGUUGGGUUAAGUCCCGCAACGAGCGCAACCCCUAUUGUUAGUUGCCAUCAUUCAGUUGGGCACUCUAGCGAGACUGCCGGUAAUAAACCGGAGGAAGGUGGGGAUGACGUCAAAUCAUCAUGCCCCUUAUGACCUGGGCUACACACGUGCUACAAUGGUUGGUACAACGAGUUGCGAGUCGGUGACGGCGAGCUAAUCUCUUAAAGCCAAUCUCAGUUCGGAUUGUAGGCUGCAACUCGCCUACAUGAAGUCGGAAUCGCUAGUAAUCGCGGAUCAGCACGCCGCGGUGAAUACGUUCCCGGGCCUU